Molecule: ribosomal RNA, 253 nt
Filed under: uncultured bacterium
Lineage: Bacteria
Description: partial 16S ribosomal RNA
Rfam family: Bacterial small subunit ribosomal RNA
Source: RNAcentral
UACGUAGGGUGCGAGCGUUGCCCGGAUUUAUUGGGCGUAAAGGGCGCGUAGGCGGCCACGCACGUCCGUUGUGAAAUCGCCCGGCUCAACUGGGCGGGGUCAGCGGAUACGGCGUGGCUAGAGCAAGCUAGGGGGCAAUGGAAUUCCCGGUGUAGUGGUGGAAUGCGUAGAUAUCGGGAGGAACACCGGUGGCGAAGGCGGAUCUCUGGGCCUUGCCUGACGCUGAGGCGCGAAAGCUAGGGGAGCGAACAGG